This 252-nucleotide ribosomal RNA is filed under the name uncultured bacterium. RNAcentral's name for it is "partial 16S ribosomal RNA". It matches the Rfam family "Bacterial small subunit ribosomal RNA", at positions 524 to 775 of the family's 1533-position model. The record is from RNAcentral.
UACAGAGGUCUCAAGCGUUGUUCGGAUUCAUUGGGCGUAAAGGGUGUGUAGGUGGCGCCGUAAGUCGGGUGUGAAAUUUCGGAGCUUAACUCCGAAACUGCAUUCGAUACUGCGGUGCUUGAGGACUGGAGAGGAGACUGGAAUUUACGGUGUAGCAGUGAAAUGCGUAGAUAUCGUAAGGAAGACCAGUGGCGAAGGCGGGUCUCUGGACAGUUCCUGACACUGAGACACGAAGGCCAGGGGAGCAAACGG